UCCUGUUGCAUUAUUUAUGCGCUUUUAGUGUCGCAGUCUUGCAGUCAGCAAUCUCGCAGGCGUCUAGGAAUCGCGAGUGAGAACAUUACAACGAGCUCUACGGAGUCAUCAGAAUUAUCGGAAAAUGAGUUGACCGACGUAGAGAAUGAACCGGAAUGUAUAAAGUCUUUACAAGGAACGGCAAAAUCGAAGCGGCAAACGAGUUCCUCUCAUAUCAAGACGAGCUGAUCGCCGACGAAGAGUGGUUGCCGAAUUACAACGCCUCUGUGAAUACUCCUCCUCAACACAAGACAAUAAACAUUGCAGAUGCAGCAAUAAUAAACGUAGAGACAUGACGGAAAAACAUGACGUGAUGCUUCAAAUAAUCCCAUUUCACAUCGAAUAAGUACAUUCUGGAACCAACAACACGACGUAAACAUGGGCCAUGCUUUGCGCUGGUACAACAACAUAGCCGUUAUGACUGUUUUUCAAUGAUCUCUAGUCUGUCGAAACGUGGGUCCAUUAGCAUUUUCUCAACUAUUUGAGUAUUGCCAUUCAGGUUAAAUAUUAUGACCUUCAGGUUAAAUAUUCUCUAGUCAAAAACCCUAAUGGACCCAAUCAUUUGCGAGCUGGAUUCAUUUUUGUGCAAGGUCAAGCUGUUAUGAACUUUGACGAUGGCGUCAUGUUUUGUCACACGUUACAAAUCAAUGGCUAAAAUCUCUAUUAAAAUGUCCCGGCUGCAACUUUUGCUAAAUAAGAGAUAUAGUCCCAAUGCUAUAGAAUACGUUUUUA
Molecule: long non-coding RNA, 771 nt
Organism: Nematostella vectensis (starlet sea anemone)
Lineage: Eukaryota; Metazoa; Cnidaria; Anthozoa; Actiniaria; Edwardsiidae
Exons: 2
Source: RefSeq, a predicted model, not a curated record